RNAcentral lists this long non-coding RNA (2275 nucleotides) under Eutrema salsugineum. RNAcentral describes it as "long non-coding RNA (ESAL_LNC000436)". The stretch from base 1724 to 1827 matches the Rfam family "MIR162_1 microRNA precursor family", at positions 1 to 92 of the family's 112-position model. The record is from RNAcentral. Lineage: Eukaryota; Viridiplantae; Streptophyta; Magnoliopsida; Brassicales; Brassicaceae.
UUCUAUUCUAUUCAUAAUAAAUUGCCCAUGAUUAAAGGAAGAUGAGCAAAAACACACCAGUUCAUUAGCUCCAUAUCAUUUACAAAUCUAUUUCCCAAUUAUGUAUAGUGGCACCAUAAUUAGACCUUAAAACAAACUAGUUCACAUAUUAGCUAUAACAAUUUGUUAUAUAAUUCACCAUCUAAACACUUAGAAAAAGAUCUACCAAAUCCAUGUGAAGAAACUCAAACACGGAUUUCGAUGACGCUUAUUCAUGAAAUUCACCAAUACGCUAUUAAGUUCAUGUUUGUUAAAUCACCAGCCUAGGUAGUGAUAUCAUAUCAAUAGUAAUGUCACCAUCAUCACAUAUUCUAUAUAAGAACGAAGUGAAUAACACCAUUUUCUCAUGUUUUACCACCCUCCAGUAAGGGGAAUCUAAGAAAGAGCACAAGUCUUUGAUCCUGAAGAACAAGAUUCUCCUUUUAUUACCUAAUUUGAGAAUGGAAUCUUGUUACCAUUUGAAGUUUACUCCAAGGAAUUUUAAAACCCACGAGCUCAGGAAUCCAUUCACUUUCACCAGAUUCCUUCACCUUUUUGGAAAAAAAAAAAGAACACAAAUGACAAACAAAAAGUGUCUUUUUCUACACAUAAUGCCAUUAUAUAGAGAGAGGAAAGUUUCGGGAGUGAAUAUGAUUCUUCUUAUGAACAUCCACUCUCAUAAAUAGUAAUGCUCCAAUGCAGAAACUAAUACGAAAGGAAAAAGAAGUAGCAUGGCUCUCAAGACUGAUAUUAAUCACUGAAUAUCACCACUUGGAUCCUGAUUAUGCUCUGAAGUGUGCAGUGUACCCGAUUCCAUAUACGUACAAAGAGAGUGGUAUUCUAUGUGGAUAUCUGAUCACAAGACAAGAAUAAACAAAAGGGAGAAAACUUGGAUGUCAAAAACAAGGAUUAUAAUCCAGUAAUGCAAUGUCCUGUUAAACUAGCGGUUUAAAGCACACAUUGUAUCAAGAAAACCAAAUACCACAGCAAAACUUGAGAGGGAAUCCAUAACAACAUAGCCAUGGCCCAUGGUCAGGCAAAAGAAACAGGAACGAAACUUGAGGCAAGGGUCUAAUAAAGUAUCCAUGGCUCAACGAAAUCCCUUGCUAGAUGAAGACAGUAGUCUACAUGAAACUCAAACCUUGAUUACAUGAAAACCAAAAGACAAACUGCAUCAUCAUUAGAUUCAGGAACAUCGUUCAAGAAAACAGAUCAAGAAAAAAAGCUACUACAAACUGUCAGUGUAUAGAGGAAAGGAAAUAUAUAAAAAAACUGAAUUGUAACCGAAGUUUUCAUCAACAGAACCACAUGGUAGGAUUUGGCGUAGAUACUAGUCAACUAUGAACACAUGAUUGGAAGUACAGCUACAAACAAAAACAAAAUGAUUGAUCUUUUAUCCUUAAAAAAAAAAAAAAACUAAACCAAACCUUUCAAAGAGACAAGAAUCAUCCAUCUCUACUAUCUUUAAUUACCACCAAUCACAGUCCAAGAACAAAAGUCCUUAAUUUUUUUUUUCUUAGACAAGAAUUUACUUGAUUUCUUCUUCUUUCACUUACACCUAAGAACCUCAAGAAAUAAUAAUACUUUCAAUCAAAUUUGGGAUAAAUUUCAAAUAUUUGGUUUAGCAACAGACUAAACUUUCCCAAUCCAAAAGUAUCUUAACAAAAAAAAAAAAAAAAAGAGGCGACAAAUGAGGAAGGAGAAGCGCUGGAUGCAGAGGUUUAUCGAUCGAUUCAUGCUUUCGAUGUAAAGUGUCCAACAUCGAAAGAAAAUUUCUCAGGAAUUGAUCGAUGAACCGCUGCCUCCAGCGACUUCAACUAUCAUCAUAUUCGUCAAAGAAAGUAAAUAGGACUCGAGCAAAUUAGAAUAAUUCACAGAUCUGAAAAAAUCGGUGCUGAACACAAAUUAAUCAUUGAUGGAAGCUGGAUCUCAAAAGUAGAUAAAUUUACAGAGAGAGAGGUAGAUGCAGAGUAAUAUCUACGAGCUUGUAUUAUAUAUAGAGAGGCGUGGCUACAUACACAGAUGCAUGUGAGAAUCUGAGAGUUUCAAAUAUCAGUAAAAAAGUAGACUCAACGAAAUUGAAAAUGAAGAGGAAUCUGAUGACUCACCGUUUUUUCUUCUUUUUGCCGUACAUAAUUUUCUCAUCUUUUGUCCUUUUGGUCAACAAAUUGGAGUCCUUGAUUGAAGAAAAAACAAAAUUAUUCUUCUUUUAUGUCAACCUUUUCAACUUUUUUUUUCAUUCUAUUUUCUAGUCUUG